RNAcentral lists this transfer RNA (71 nucleotides) under Fer nigripennis. RNAcentral describes it as "tRNA-Val". It matches the Rfam family "tRNA". From Rfam's summary of the family: Transfer RNA (tRNA) molecules are approximately 80 nucleotides in length. Their secondary structure includes four short double-helical elements and three loops (D, anti-codon, and T loops). Further hydrogen bonds mediate the characteristic L-shaped molecular structure. tRNAs have two regions of fundamental functional importance: the anti-codon, which is responsible for specific mRNA codon recognition, and the 3' end, to which the tRNAs corresponding amino acid is attached (by aminoacyl-tRNA synthetases). tRNAs cope with the degeneracy of the genetic code in two manners: having more than one tRNA (with a specific anti-codon) for a particular amino acid; and 'wobble' base-pairing, i.e. permitting non-standard base-pairing at the 3rd anti-codon position. The record is from RNAcentral. Lineage: Eukaryota; Metazoa; Arthropoda; Insecta; Orthoptera; Acrididae.
UAAGGUAUAAUUUAUUAGUAAAAUAUUUCGUUUACACUGAAAUUUUUCUUGUGCAAAUCAAGAUAUCUUGA